UACGUAGGGGGCUAGCGUUGUCCGGAAUCAUUGGGCGUAAAGCGCGUGUAGGCGGUCCGGUAAGUCCGCUGUGAAAGUCGAGGGCUCAACCCUCGAAUGCCGGUGGAUACUGUCGGGCUAGAGUGCGGAAGAGGCGAGUGGAAUUCCAGGUGUAGCGGUGAAAUGCGUAGAUAUCUGGAGGAACACCGGUGGCGAAGGCGGCUUUCUGGACAAAUACCGACGCUGAGGCACGAAAGCUAGGGGAGCAAACAGG
RNAcentral lists this ribosomal RNA (253 nucleotides) under uncultured bacterium. RNAcentral's name for it is "partial 16S ribosomal RNA". It matches the Rfam family "Bacterial small subunit ribosomal RNA", at positions 524 to 776 of the family's 1533-position model. The record is from RNAcentral.